UACGGAGGGUGCAAGCGUUAAUCGGAAUUACUGGGCGUAAAGCGCGCGUAGGCGGUUAGUUAAGUCAGAUGUGAAAUCCCCGGGCUCAACCUGGGAAUGGCCUCUGAUACUGGCUGGCUAGAGUUUGGAAGAGGGAAGUAGAAUUUCAGGUGUAGCGGUGAAAUGCAUAGAGAUCUGAAGGAAUACCAGUGGCGAAGGCGACUUCCUGGUCCAGAACUGACGCUGAGGUGCGAAAGCGUGGGUAGCAAACGGG
This 253-nucleotide ribosomal RNA is filed under the name uncultured bacterium. RNAcentral describes it as "partial 16S ribosomal RNA". It matches the Rfam family "Bacterial small subunit ribosomal RNA", at positions 524 to 776 of the family's 1533-position model. The record is from RNAcentral.